GCGUGGGAAUCUGCCUGGUAGUGGGGACAACAGUUGGAAACGACUGCUAAUACCGCAUACGCCCUACGGGGGAAAGGACGGGGGAGUCUUCGGACCUCGCGCUACCAGAUGAGCCCACGUCAGAUUAGCUAGUUGGUGGGGUAAUGGCCUACCAAGGCGACGAUCUGUAGCUGGUCUGAGAGGAUGAUCAGCCACACUGGGACUGAGACACGGCCCAGACUCCUACGGGAGGCAGCAGUGGGGAAUAUUGCACAAUGGGGGAAACCCUGAUGCAGCCAUGCCGCGUGUGUGAAGAAGGCC
This 300-nucleotide ribosomal RNA is filed under the name uncultured Alteromonadaceae bacterium. RNAcentral's name for it is "bacterial SSU rRNA". It matches the Rfam family "Bacterial small subunit ribosomal RNA", at positions 115 to 416 of the family's 1533-position model. The record is from RNAcentral. Lineage: Bacteria; Pseudomonadati; Pseudomonadota; Gammaproteobacteria; Alteromonadales; Alteromonadaceae.